GAGUGAUAUGAUGGCAUACCAUCUUUCGGGACUGACUGAAAAAUGGAGAGUCCUUUAUUGUUGUACUGAUCACUC
Oryzias melastigma (Indian medaka) is the source of this 75-nucleotide small nucleolar RNA. Ensembl annotates it as small nucleolar RNA SNORD2. The record is from Ensembl. NCBI's taxonomy places the organism in Eukaryota, Metazoa, Chordata, Actinopteri, Beloniformes, Adrianichthyidae.